GUACACGCUGUGACUAGCAUAUCAAUAAGCGGAGGAAAAGAAACUAACAAGGAUUCCCUUAGUAACGGCGAGUGAAGCGGGAGAAGAGCUCAAAUUUGAAAUCUUGAAGGGUUUCCCUUUACGAAUUGUAGUUUAAAGAAGUGUUUUCUGUUGAGGUUUUGGUAAAAGUUCUUUGGAAUAGGACAUCAUAGAGGGUGAGAAUCCCGUAUUUGACCUUUACUUUCAACUUUGUGAUACACUUUCAAAGAGUCGGAUUGUUUGGGAAUGCAGUCCAAAAUGGGGUGGUAAAUUUCAUCUAAAGCUAAAUAUUGGCGAGAGACCGAUAGCGAACAAGUACCGUGAGGGAAAGAUGAAAAGAACUUUGAAAAGAGAGUUAAACAGUACGUGAAAUUGUCAAAAGGGAAGCGUUUGACACCAGUGUUGUUUUCUCGGAAAUCAAUUAAAAAUGGCUCGAUUUUGUAUUGUUGAGACCUUAAAAGCUCACUGUACAUUUUCUCGUGUCUUUUUUAAUGCACUUUUUCAGUUUAACAAGUCAACAUCAGUUUCUUUUGUCUGUAAAAAAGGGUCAUUGAGGAAGGUGGCUUGAGAUUCGUCUUAAGUGUUUAUAGCCUCUUGCCUAUGCAGUCGGAGAGGUUGAGGUCUGCAGCGUAGAUCCUUCGGGGCUAAAUGCAUUUGUGCUAAGUUAUAGCAUUUUAUAGACAACUUGUUGACUAUGAUUUGUCUUGUAGCUUACUCGCUUAUGUUAUUUUACCUACGCUUAGGAUGUUGAGCGCAUGUCUCUCUCU
RNAcentral lists this ribosomal RNA (785 nucleotides) under uncultured Neocallimastigales. Its description in RNAcentral is "partial large subunit ribosomal RNA". It matches the Rfam family "Eukaryotic large subunit ribosomal RNA", at positions 22 to 616 of the family's 3401-position model. The record is from RNAcentral. Lineage: Eukaryota; Fungi; Neocallimastigomycota; Neocallimastigomycetes; Neocallimastigales.